AUGACCUUGGUGAGGAACCAGCAGACAGGUGUCGGAGUAAAUGUGACAGAUGGGCCAAAAACAGCUCCUGGUGUCAGAUUUUCCAGAACAAAUCUGGAGCUUCUUUGACAGAGGACAUGCAACAAGCUGAGCAUUCCAGAAUAUAUAAUGCUCUUAUAAAAAUAUCUAUUUUCUGGUAUCUUCAAUCUCUAAUACUGCCAAAAUGAUUUUUUUUUUUUUUUUUUCUGCAGAAAAAGGAGAUGGUACAAAAGUAGGAGGCUUUUAUCUUGCUCUGCUAAUAAUCCCUACAAAUUCAUGUCUCAAAAACAUUACCUUAUGUAUGGGAACUGCUGAGUCACAGCCUGAACCUCUGAUUAGUCACCUGAGGUGAGCAAUGAGUCAGCCCUGGGAGCACAGGUGAAAGCAAUUCACCUGUGCUGCAGGAAGGGGUGGAGCCUGGCUCCACCUCUCCUAGACCCAUUUAAGAGCUGACUACCAGUGGGGAAGGAUCUCUCUCUUUUCUCUCUUUGGAAGAUCCAUUCCAGUGGUCUUUCCUGAGCUAGCCCAUAACACAGGUAAGUAUUGUAUUUAUUCUCUUUGUCUCACUGUGCCUAACUCUCUUGCUUAUUUCAUUAUUAUAGCAUCUUAAUAUUAUUUGGUUAUAUAAUAUUCCUUUAUAUAAUUUUCAUUGAUUAUACACUUUACAUAAUCUAAUUUAUACAAAUGUAAUACCUUAGACAUUGCUGUGACUACUGCAACGGAAGGAGUGAUGCUGAUGGAGAACCCAGGAUGAAUCCCACCCUGCACUGCUCCCAUCUCACUGCAAACCAAAAAACUGGUGAUCAUAGCCCAAAAGGAUGCUGGUUCAUGGCCCUCUACAAUCAAUGAAAAACAGGCAUUUCCACUUGGCAGCUCAGGACCACUGGACACAUAAGCAAGGGGCCACAGACCUGGCAAUAGGCUGGAUAUCAUCUUUGAAACCUACUGCCAGCUUCAGAGGGGGCAGAACUUCCUCCAGCAGUGAGCUGAGUAGACUCUAACCAGCCAAAGCAGAUCCCUGUCUUGAUUGGAAAUCUUUAACUGAGGGGAUCUUGUAACAAGACAGAGAACACAGCUCAGAUGCAAAACAUAUUGAUCUAGACACAAACUCUUCCAAGAAGGAUCUGCAAUUUCAAUCUUUAAGCUCCUUCUGCAGAAUUGUUCCUCUUCUGAUGGUGCCCCUUUAACCAAACUACUCAACUUCUCCUUCCUUUAAAACUUCCUUUUAAGAUGUUUCCUCCACACAGCAUUCUUUUGUGAAAAUCUCUGCAGAGAUCACAAGGCACAGAGAGGUGCCUUGUAAUGCUUGUCACAAGAAAUUCCUCAAUAAACAAGUCAGUAUAGAUUCUGUGGCA
This 1373-nucleotide long non-coding RNA is filed under the name Phasianus colchicus (ring-necked pheasant). Its description in RNAcentral is "lncRNA (ENSPCLG00000018232.1)". The record is from RNAcentral. Lineage: Eukaryota; Metazoa; Chordata; Aves; Galliformes; Phasianidae.